MicroRNA precursor from Chlorocebus sabaeus (green monkey), 101 nucleotides. Lineage: Eukaryota; Metazoa; Chordata; Mammalia; Primates; Cercopithecidae. The record is from Ensembl.
UGAGGCAAGAGAAUUGCUUGAACCCAGGAAGUGGAGGUUGCAGUGAGUCGAGAUUGGGCCACUGUACUCCAGUCUGGGUGACAGAGCGAGACUCCAUCUCA